UACGUAGGGUGCAGGCGUUAAUCGGAAUUACUGGGCGUAAAGCGUGCGCAGGCGGUCUUUUAAGUCAGAUGUGAAAUCCCCGGGCUUAACCUGGGAACUGCGUUUGAAACUGGAAGGCUAGAGUGUGGCAGAGGGGGGUGGAAUUCCGCGUGUAGCAGUGAAAUGCGUAGAUAUGCGGAGGAACACCGAUGGCGAAGGCAAUCCCCUGGGCCUGCACUGACGCUCAUGCACGAAAGCGUGGGGAGCAAACAGG
Molecule: ribosomal RNA, 253 nt
Filed under: uncultured bacterium
Lineage: Bacteria
Description: partial 16S ribosomal RNA
Rfam family: Bacterial small subunit ribosomal RNA
Source: RNAcentral